UCUCAGUUCGGAUUGCAGGCUGCAACUCGCCUGCAUGAAGCUGGAAUUGCUAGUAAUCGCGGAUCAGCAAGCCGCGGUGAAUACGUUCCCGGGCCUUGUACACACCGCCCGUCACACCAUGAGAGUCGGGAACACCCGAAGUCCGUAGUCUAACCGCAAGGGGGCGCGGCCGAAGGUGGGUCCGGUAAUUGGGGUGAAGUCGUAACAAGGUACC
RNAcentral lists this ribosomal RNA (214 nucleotides) under uncultured bacterium. Its description in RNAcentral is "partial 16S ribosomal RNA". It matches the Rfam family "Bacterial small subunit ribosomal RNA", at positions 1286 to 1500 of the family's 1533-position model. The record is from RNAcentral.